UGCAGAAGCAGACUCUCUGGAUACAUCACUGGACAGUAGAUGGUUUGCUCUGAUCAGUGUGCUGCUAGUUUUGCUACUCUUCUACAUUCCAUAUUCCUGGUGCAAAAGUCAGGUACUGACACCAAGUCCCACUUCAUAUUUCAGAGAUUUCAAAAGGCCUGCGGUGCAGCCAGCUGUACUUCCACAACAGGAGGAGUCUCUUAAAAUUGACAGUAUAUUUGAAGAGUUUGAGAGCAGCCCUCAGUCAAGCUCCACCCACUAUGAGAAGAUCAGCAUUUAUGCCAACUCAGGGUAUGCCUGCAUCUCUGCCCCACCCAAAUCUCCCAGCAUGCUCCACUGCACUGAGGGUGCAGAGGUCAGAGCUGCAGAGAGCAGCAGCAUGAUGUACACCAAAGACUACUGCAAGCUCAGUCACACAGACUGAAUACAUACAUAUAUCACACAAAAACCAAAUGCACACAACAAAUGUCCCAGAUGGAAAAUUGGCUGCAAUAAUGGAGUAGUGCUACUGAUGGGAACUUUAAAAAGAAGUUUCUUAAAAGUCCGUCCCAGUGUGUUAACAUUUUUAAAAAAAGUUUUAAAAAUGAAAAACAGGCAAAUAAAUAAUCUUUCUCCUAGUAAAUACUUUAACGCAACUCUAAAAAAAAGAUCCUUUAAAUUACAAUUCUACCAGUCCAGUAUACCUUUACCAGCUAUUGCACUAUAACCAAUAUUUUCUAUAAUUCGGUAUUGUCAUAUUUACAUGUUUAUUAAUAUGUCAUACUUUUUGUUUGCGAUUUUAUGCAACUGGACCGUCAAACAGCAUAUUGAGAUUUAAUUGUUUAAAGUAUGAUGUUUAAAUGUCUCACUCCUGUAUCCUCUUUGGAAAAACAUUUAACAUGCUUAGCCUUUUAAUUUAAAAAAAAUAAAAAAGUUUCCCCCACAUGCUAGUUGUUUUCUAUAAAAUUGUGUAAGGAGUUGGCUCAAUAUUGAGAGUGGUCUUACUAUUCAGAGAUCCAUGGAUGGGUCUCAUUAAUAUUAAUUUUGCCAUUAUAC
Electrophorus electricus (electric eel) is the source of this 1035-nucleotide long non-coding RNA. NCBI's taxonomy places the organism in Eukaryota, Metazoa, Chordata, Actinopteri, Gymnotiformes, Gymnotidae. The record is from Ensembl.